AUGUUCAGUUUUGACAUAUUACUUCUGCUGGGAUACCAGAGCUCCUCUACAGUCUUAUUUCAGUGCAGUCAGCUGGAGAGGUGCUGUGAGUUGAACACUUCAUCACUGACACACACAACAAUCUUCAUCAUCACGACCUUCAUCAUCAUCUUCAUCUGGACUCUCACAGCGUUUGCUCAAGAGUGUGGAGGACAGAUCAGCAUCACUCAGAGUCCCUCAAUGACAGCAGAACCAGACAAACCCGUCACAAUCACCUGCAGAACCAGCACAAAUGUGUACAGAUGGGAUGAUGGAGAUGAAGGUUUAGCCUGGUAUUUACAGAAACCUGGAGAAGCUCCUAAACUCCUGAUCUAUUAUGUGAAAAAGCUUCAGUCAGGAACUGCAUCUAGAUUCAGUGGCAGUGGAUCUAACAGGGAUUUCACUCGGAGCAUCAGUGGAGUCCAGACUGAAGAUGCUGGACAUUAUUACUGUCAGAGUUACCACAGUGGUGGUGUGUUGACACAGUGA
Molecule: non-coding RNA, 507 nt
Organism: Danio aesculapii
Lineage: Eukaryota; Metazoa; Chordata; Actinopteri; Cypriniformes; Danionidae
Source: the annotation of a RefSeq genome assembly